Molecule: long non-coding RNA, 1652 nt
Organism: Strongylocentrotus purpuratus (purple sea urchin)
Lineage: Eukaryota; Metazoa; Echinodermata; Echinoidea; Camarodonta; Strongylocentrotidae
Exons: 3
Source: RefSeq, a predicted model, not a curated record
ACAAUAAGUUUGAAGUAGGAUAUAAGCAGAUUCAGUUUUAGUUCAAUGAGUAGUUGAUAAUUUCAUUUACAUUAUAUUGACCGUAACAACAAUAAUGUUUUCAUGAUUUUUUCUUUAAAUUUCUUUUACUGUAUAAUGUUUCAUUAUCUUUUCUUUACAUGAUCCUUGAUCUAUUUUUUUUAGAUGGAAAGGCAGGACAAAAACCUGGUGUGAAAGUUAAAUGAGGACACAAGGUGGAUUGUCCAAUUUUGAUCUGCAAUUUCAGCAAAGAGAAAAUUGGCAAAGCUCUACCAGGAACAAGUUCCAAAAAUACAAACAACGCUAAGGAAUUUAUCAUUCAGUUUUCAAAAGAAGUUUAUACACAAUUAGGCCGACGUUUGAUCGUUGUAUUGACACACAAGGACACCUUGCAGAAAGAGGAAAACAUAAAAGACUGGCUUGUCAGCGACUGUGAAAUACCUCGAGAUAAUAUAUGGACCUUUGAAAACUACACACAUAAAGAUCAUGACGAAAGUAUUGACAAGACUGUUGAUCUCUUGAGCUUUAUUUUGAAGUGUGUGAAAUUGUCGGAGCAAAACAUCGAAUUCAGACGUAAGAACGAAACCGAAAAGAAGGAUGGGUCUACGUGUCUAAUAUCGUAGGUGACAAGAACAUUUAUAUUUUAAACUGUAUGUUUCUUUAACUGAUAAAAGAGACGGUACUACAUUUGCAUAGUAAUUCCGGAGGGUUCGAUAUUAGAAAAAAAAAUGGAAGUAUUCAAAGAUUUUGUAAACCUUCCUAUUGAUUGUAUUAAAGGGCAACUCAACCUUCAUAGGUUUAUUUGUAUGAAAGCAGAAAAGGGAGAGAAACAGAUUGGUUAAAGUGUGAAUUAAAUAGAACCCAUAAUAAGAAAGUUUCUGAUGCUUCAGAUAUACGAUUACUAAAUCUGUGCGAAUCUCAAGUUGGCAGUUUGGACAAUGGAUUGUGAGAUGGUCGUGGACAACUCUCCCGAUUGUCGUGUACAAACAAUAUAUUACUUAAAUUCCUGUUUUUCUCCUAUGUAGCUUCUCCAUUGGGUAUUAGCCAAAACAUAGUAGUAAUGGGCUAAUGGCAUAUACCUUUCCGGGUCAUACAUUUUGACAAAUUGACAUUUUAGCCAUUUUGUGUAUUGGAAUCAGUGGGAAAGUUGUCCAGGACUACAUUACAAUAACAUUACAGAUUCACCAAAUUUGAAGUUCCCAUACAAAUAGUUAUUACAACUUAAACACAAAUCACAACUUUCUCAUUAAUUUUUGUGUAUGAUUUCAUUCGAUCUUUCACCAGACUCUGAUUUCUCUGCUUCUAUAGAGUUGUUGGCUAUUCAGGUUAGAUUACCUUUUAAUGUAACUGUACUAUAGCUUUAAGUAGACAAUAAAUCAGAGAAAGACUACUUUCGAUAAUCAUAAUGUUCGUAAUUCAAUGAGACUUGGUAAUGUAUCAUUAUGUAUGAGACUGUGAAAUAACAAAAUGCCUCGGUCAAGCUCAUUUUAAAUCUCAUUAUCGACGUUGCAAUGCAUAAAUUCAUCAAAAUAAUUAUUAUGGAAAAUACCUUUUUUUUUAAAUAUGCUUUGAAUAUGUUCAUACUUUUACUUCGUUCACCUUACUGGUCAUACGGUAAUAUAAACAGAUGCCGC